GGGGUUAUAGCUCAGCUGGGAGAGCGCCUGCCUUGCACGCAGGAGGUCGGCGGUUCGAUCCCGCCUAACUCCACCA
RNAcentral lists this transfer RNA (76 nucleotides) under Thiomicrospira aerophila AL3. RNAcentral's name for it is "tRNA-Ala (TGC) (tRNA-Ala-TGC-1-1, tRNA-Ala-TGC-1-2)". It matches the Rfam family "tRNA". Rfam says of the family: Transfer RNA (tRNA) molecules are approximately 80 nucleotides in length. Their secondary structure includes four short double-helical elements and three loops (D, anti-codon, and T loops). RNAcentral also lists the same sequence under 1 other name. The record is from RNAcentral. Lineage: Bacteria; Pseudomonadati; Pseudomonadota; Gammaproteobacteria; Thiotrichales; Piscirickettsiaceae.